CCAUGGCCAGAUCUGCAUGUGAGAGGCAUGGAUGCAACCUUCUUGCCAUUUGGAGAUGAAAAAAGUUGCUUCCCAUCACCACUGCAACCUGGGAAUCUAGCCAAUGUGGACAGAUUGCUCAAUGAGGAAUACAGAAGACAACAUCCCAUUUGUCCAGCUAAUGCUGAUAUCCUUUUCUCAGUAGUAAACGAUGGCUGAUAUCACAGCAGAAGGCAGAAAUUCCAUAUGAGGUUGAAUUUUAUGGCUUCACAACAUUUUCCUUUGGGGUUUCUUCUUUCAUGGUGGCACCACAACACUGACCGAGUCUU
Gopherus evgoodei (Goodes thornscrub tortoise) is the source of this 308-nucleotide long non-coding RNA. RefSeq lists it as uncharacterized. The record is from RefSeq and is a predicted model, not a curated record. Lineage: Eukaryota; Metazoa; Chordata; Testudines; Testudinidae. The transcript is spliced from 3 exons.